UACGUAGGGGGCUAGCGUUAUCCGGAAUUACUGGGCGUAAAGGGUGCGUAGGUGGUUUCUUAAGUCAGAGGUGAAAGGCUACGGCUCAACCGUAGUAAGCCUUUGAAACUGGGGAACUUGAGUGCAGGAGAGGAGAGUGGAAUUCCUAGUGUAGCGGUGAAAUGCGUAGAUAUUAGGAGGAACACCAGUUGCGAAGGCGGCUCUCUGGACUGUAACUGACACUGAGGCUCGAAAGUGUGGGUAUCAAACAGG
RNAcentral lists this ribosomal RNA (252 nucleotides) under uncultured bacterium. Its description in RNAcentral is "partial 16S ribosomal RNA". It matches the Rfam family "Bacterial small subunit ribosomal RNA", at positions 524 to 776 of the family's 1533-position model. The record is from RNAcentral.